RNAcentral lists this ribosomal RNA (831 nucleotides) under Entrophospora etunicata. Its description in RNAcentral is "eukaryotic LSU rRNA". It matches the Rfam family "Eukaryotic large subunit ribosomal RNA", at positions 1 to 649 of the family's 3401-position model. Lineage: Eukaryota; Fungi; Glomeromycota; Glomeromycetes; Entrophosporales; Entrophosporaceae. The record is from RNAcentral.
AAGUGUUUGGCCGAGAUCGUGAGUUUUUAUCAAAUGACCUCAAAUCAGGCAAGAAUACCCGCUGAACUUAAGCAUAUCAAUAAGCGGAGGAAAAGAAACUAACAAGGAUUCCCCUAGUAACGGCGAGUGAAGAGGGAAGAGCUCAAAUUUUAAAUCUGCCUUGUUCCAAGGUCGAGUUGUAAUUUGAAGAAGCGUUUUCUUGGGCUCGCGGCCGGUAGAAGUUCUUUGGAACAGGACAUCAUAGAGGGUGACAAUCCCGUCCGUGACCGGUCGUGCGUUCAUCUACGAUACGCUUUCAAAGAGUCGAGUUGUUUGGGAUUGCAGCUCCAAACGGGUGGUAAACAUCACCUAAGGCUAAAUAUUGGCGAGAGACCGAUAGCGAACAAGUACCGUGAGGGAAAGAUGAAAAGAACUUUGAAAAGAGAGUUAAACAGUACGUGAAAUUGUUGAAAGGGAAACGAUUGAAGUCAGUCGUGCUGGCGCGAAAUCAACCCUCUCGUCUUGAGAUCACAUGGCGCGACGAGCCUCAAAACCGUCACGAAGCGUGAACUCUUGACGAAAAGGUGCACUUUCGUGUCCGCUGGUUAACAUCAAUUUCGAACGUCAUAAAAAGGCUGGAGGGAUGUGGCUCCUUCGGGAGUGUUAUAACCUUUAGCGGAAUGUGGCGUUCGGGAUUGAGGAUUGCAACGAAUACCUUCAGGGCUGUUCCACCUGGCUUCUCAUUGGUAUCCUGGUGACGACAGCUUGCUGACGUCGUUAGGAUCAGCUUCUGAACAGGCUAGAGUGUGAGCAAAUUCGUUAAGGAUGUUAACGUAAUGGCUUUAAACGACC